AUGGCUCAGGAUGAACGCUGGCGGCGUGCUUAACACAUGCAAGUCGAACGGAACUUAUCGCUGAAGCGAUUUCGGUCAAAUCAUGAUAGGUUUAGUGGCGGACGGGUGAGUAACGCGUGGGUAACCUGCCUUACGACAGGGGGACAACAGUUGGAAACGGCUGCUAAUACCGCAUAAGCGCACAGUACCGCAUGGUACAGUGUGAAAAACUCCGGUGGUGUAAAGAUGGACCCGCGUCUGAUUAGCUAGUUGGUGAGGUAACGGCCACCAAGGCGACGAUCAGGUAGCCGGCCUGAGAGGGUGAACGGCCACAUUGGGACUGAGACACGGCCCAAACUCCUACGGGAGGCAGCAGUGGGGAAUAUUGGACAAUGGGGGAAACCCUGAUCCAAGCGACGCCGCGUGAGUGAAGAAGUAUUUCGGUAUGUAAAGCUCUAUCAGCAAGGAAGAAAAUGACGGUACUUGACUAAGAAGCCCCGGCUAACUACGUGCCAGCAGCUGC
Molecule: ribosomal RNA, 502 nt
Filed under: uncultured bacterium
Lineage: Bacteria
Description: bacterial SSU rRNA
Rfam family: Bacterial small subunit ribosomal RNA
Source: RNAcentral